RNAcentral lists this long non-coding RNA (875 nucleotides) under Homo sapiens (human). RNAcentral's name for it is "non-protein coding lnc-GCH1-1:1". Lineage: Eukaryota; Metazoa; Chordata; Mammalia; Primates; Hominidae. The record is from RNAcentral.
AUGUCUAGAACCUCUAUGUCCUGCAAAUGAAGGAGGAGGAUGUCCUUAAGUUCCUUGCAGGAGGAACCCACUUAGGUAGCACCAGCUUUGUCUUCCAGAUGGGACAGUACAUCUAUAAAAGGAAAAGUGUUGGCAUCUACAUCAUAAAUCUGAAGAGGACCUGGGAGAAGCUUCUCCUGGGAGCUUGUGCCAUUGUUGCUGUUGAAAACUCUUUCAAUGUCAGUGUCAUAUCAUCCAGGAAUACUGGUCCGAAGGCCAUGCUGAAGUUUGCUGCUGCCACUGGAGUCACUCCAGUUGCUGGCUGCUUCACUCCUGGAACUUUCAUUAACCAGAUCCAGGCAGCCUUUUAGGAGCCACAGCUUCUUAUGGUGACUAAUCCCAGUGCUGAUCACCAGCCUCUCACAGAGGCAUCUUAUGUUAACGUACCUACCAUUGCUCUGUGUCACACAGAUUUUCCUCUGUGCUAUGUGGACACUACCAUCCCAUGCAACAGCAAGGGAGCUCACUCAGUGGGAUUGAUGUGGUGGAUGCCGAUCCAGGAAGUUCGCAUGUGUGGCACCAUUUCCUGUGGGAGGUCAUGCCUGAUCUCUACUUCUACAGUGUUCCUGAGGAGAUUGAAAAAGAAGAGCAGCCUGCUGCUGAAAAGGCUGUGACCAAGGAGGAAUUUCAGGGUGAAUGGACUACUCCAGCUCCUGAGUUCGGUGCUCCUCAACCUGAGGUUGCAGACUGGUCUGAUGGUGUGCAGGUGCCCUCUGUGCCUAUUUAGCAGUUCCCUCCUGAAAACUGGAGUGCUCAGCCUGCCACAGAAGACUGGUCUGCGGCUCCCCACUGCUCAGACCACUGAAUGCAUAGGAACAACCACUGAGUGAUCUUAA